Molecule: ribosomal RNA, 384 nt
Filed under: Albinaria eburnea
Lineage: Eukaryota; Metazoa; Mollusca; Gastropoda; Stylommatophora; Clausiliidae
Description: partial large subunit ribosomal RNA
Source: RNAcentral
CUGUGCAAAGGUAGCAUAAUCACUUGACUUUUAAAUGGAGCCUAGCAUGAAAGAGAGAACGUAGAUAAAUUGUCUCAUUAGCAUUACUUUAAAAUUAAUGUAUAAGUGAAAAUACUUAUAAAUUUAAAAAUAGACGAGAAGACCCUUAGAAUUUUUAAAAUAAACAUUGAUUAAAUGUAAGGUUUUUUGUUGGGGCAACAAUAUUUCAUUUAAUAAAUAUAUGAUUUGCAUAAUAAGUCGAUUUAAUAAUUAUAGUAAAAUUACCUAAGGGAUAACAGCAUAAUUUUAAAAGUAAGUUUGUGACCUCGAUGUUGGACUAGGUACUAUUAAGGCUAAUCGUUUUAAUAUAAUAUGUUCUGUUCGAACUUUGUUACCUACAUGAUC